Molecule: ribosomal RNA, 551 nt
Filed under: uncultured Diversispora
Lineage: Eukaryota; Fungi; Glomeromycota; Glomeromycetes; Diversisporales; Diversisporaceae
Description: SSU rRNA
Rfam family: Eukaryotic small subunit ribosomal RNA
Source: RNAcentral
UUGGAGGGCAAGUCUGGUGCCAGCAGCCGCGGUAAUUCCAGCUCCAAUAGCGUAUAUUAAAGUUGUUGCAGUUAAAAAGCUCGUAGUUGAACUUCGGGGUCUACCCAUUGGUCAGGCUUAAUUGUCUGUACUGGUGAGAUGGAUCUCUACCUUCUGAGGAACUUUCAUGCCAUUUAUUUGGUGUGGUUGGAAAUCAGGACUGUUACUUUGAAAAAAUUAGAGUGUUUAAAGCAGACUAUCGUCUGAAUACAUUAGCAUGGAAUAAUGAAAUAGGACGGACUGAUUCUAUUUCGUUGGUUUCUAGGAUCACCGUAAUGAUUAAUAGGGAUAGUUGGGGGCAUUAGUAUUCAAUUGUCAGAGGUGAAAUUCUUGGAUUUAUUGAAGACUAACUACUGCGAAAGCAUUUGCCAAGGAUGUUUUCAUUAAUCAAGAACGAAAGUUAGGGAAUCGAAGACGAUCAGAUACCGUCGUAGUCUUAACCAUAAACUAUGCCGACUAGGGAUCGGACGAAGUUAAUUUUAUAAUGACGCGUUCGGCGCCUUACGGGAAAC